RNAcentral lists this unclassified non-coding RNA (1052 nucleotides) under Hevea brasiliensis (rubber tree). The record is from RNAcentral. Lineage: Eukaryota; Viridiplantae; Streptophyta; Magnoliopsida; Malpighiales; Euphorbiaceae.
GGAUUCUUGCUUUCUCUGGGACGUAAGUGAUCAUUUUCUGCUCUUUAAUGUGUUUAUAUUGUGAAGUGGGUUAUAUUGCAACUUUUGUAAAAAAAAAUUAAAAUUGAUAUAGUCACUGUGCUUGUUGCACUAGGUCACUCUUUUUUUAUAGUCACUGUGCUAAGAAGUGAGCUGUGAAUUGCUUUCAAUCGGCUUUUUAUAUGUUGGGUAACGGAAUGCUAUUGAAUUUUAUAAGAUUUAACAUCAAGCAUGAAAUUUUGUGGAAUCGUCUGAACUUUUGGGCAAUUAUUGGAUUUCCUAAAUAAUCUUUAGUUGUUAUUUUAUUUUAUUUUCUUUUUAUUACUUUGGUAGCCUGAUUAUAGUUUUGGAUGUGCUGAGUUAAAAUGAGGGAUCUCUAAGUGAGCCUUUGGUUUUUAUGGGACAACUGCAGGCACCCUUAUACUUGAUCUUAUUUGGAAAGGCUAUGCCAGAAUAUGUCAGCGUAGUAGCAAAUAUUUGUAAAUUAAUAACUCACUUUCAAAUUGGUUUGGAGAUUAUGACAGUUGUGAUUACAGCAUUUCUCAUGUUUGAAUGUAAUGAGAUAGUAAUAACUAAUCUUGCUAUUAAGUUUAGAAAGUGAGAUACUAUUGAAUAUCAUGUAGGAUCUUAAGAUGUUUCUCCUGGAUAUGGUGAAACUAUCACCUAAUUCAAUCUUCUUUGCUUAAUUGUGGUCCAAGGUGUGGCAUUCUUGCACAGGCAUAGCCUUGUAUGCAGUUCAUUAGCCUCACAUAAAGCAUGAUGCAAAUAAUUAUAGCACAUGGUCUGACUCUCAAAUAAGUGAAUGUUUUACUUUGGUAGGGAUCUCAUACCUUCAAGAAUUUUUGUUUCAAACUAUUAUUUUACUGCACCUUGACCAAUGGCAAGAGAACCAUACAUGUUUCUCUGAAUUGUGUACAUUAUUUUAUUUUUUAAAAAUGUGUUGGGACAAUAGGUUGGGGUAAUUUUUGUAGCCUGUCCUUAAAUUUUGCCCCUUGUUUUACUCUUGCCUUUUAACUUCAAUUUGUUACUAAAAA